Molecule: ribosomal RNA, 253 nt
Filed under: uncultured bacterium
Lineage: Bacteria
Description: partial 16S ribosomal RNA
Rfam family: Bacterial small subunit ribosomal RNA
Source: RNAcentral
UACGGUGGGGGUAAGCGUUGUUCGGAAUUACUGGGCGUAAAGGGCGCGUAGGCGGCCUGCUAAGUCGGAUGUGAAAUCCCUCGGCUCAACCGAGGAACUGCCUUUGAAACUGUCAGACUUGAGGCCGGGAGGGGGUAGCGGAAUUCCCAGUGUAGCGGUGAAAUGCGUAGAUACUGGGAGGAACACCGGUGGCGAAGGCGGCUACCUGGACCGGUUCUGACGCUGAUGCGCGAAAGCGUGGGUAGCAAACAGG